AGCGAACGUUUGCGGCGGGCUUAACACAUGCAAGUCGAACGGGCUGUUCCUUCGGGGGCAGUCAGUGGCGCACGGGUGCGUAACACGUAGGUAAUCAACCCUCUGGUUGGGGAUAACACUUCGAAAGGAGUGCUAAUACCCGGUAUGGCGCAGCGGUCUUCGGAUCGCGGCGAGAAAGACCCGCAAGGGUUGCCAGAGGACGAGCCUGCGGCCCAUCAGCUAGUUGGCGAGAUAACGGCUCACCAAGGCGAAGACGGGUAGCUGGUCUGAGAGGAUGAUCAGCCACACUGGAACUGAGACACGGUCCAGACUCCUACGGGAGGCAGCAGUGGGGAAUAUUGCGCAAUGGGCGAAAGCCUGACGCAGCCACGCCGCGUGGGGGAUGAAGGUCUUCGGAUUGUAAACCCUUUCGGAGGGAGAUGGAGCGAGCAAUCGUUCGGACGGUACCUCCGAGAAGCAGCCACGGCCAACUUCGUGCCAGCAGCCGCGGU
This 491-nucleotide ribosomal RNA is filed under the name uncultured bacterium. Its description in RNAcentral is "bacterial SSU rRNA". It matches the Rfam family "Bacterial small subunit ribosomal RNA", at positions 29 to 521 of the family's 1533-position model. The record is from RNAcentral.